UUCUAGAAAAAUUUUGCAAUGCACUUUUCAAAUUUAUUAGGAUAUGAAAUCUCCUGGAACAGAAAAAUUCCAAAUAUACCUACUACCUAGGAAAUACCAUCCUUGCUUAUGCACCCCCUUCCCCUCUGCCUGGGUUACAGGGAACGUGAGGACAUCCUUUCACAAUGUUUUGCCGAAGCCCAGGCUGUCUUUUCCCUUCUCUGCUCUUCAAAGGGCUGCCUUUGCCUCUCGCACAUUCCUCUCCUCCAAGAGGACUGUGAACAUCUGUUCAGCAUCUUUCAGACUGGAGCCUGCUCACGCGCGCGGCUCUCUGGGGCACUGGAACAUUGACCCGCAGCCUUUUCUUGUCCCAACUUGGUCUCAACUAUUUUUAGCCUCGUUGAUUUUCGUUUUCAACAUUUCAGUCAUUUUCCAUGCCUGCUUAUUCUCCUAUUCCUCCAUGUUGUGUAAUAUUCCUUUGAUGACCAUUUUCCAAGGAACUCAAAGAACUCGAUGAUUCAGCCUUCCUCCCACACGCCUCUCGAGGCAAGAGGCUCUCCUCCCUACUUCUCCGAGGUGCCGGAUUGUUUGGCUCCGGUGCAGUUCUGUUUUUCCAGCUGUCAAGCAGCAGCUGACCAGGUUUGUUUUUCUUCACACUGAAAAUCGACACGCAGCAAAGUGUGUUAAUGCAUAGUAGGCGGGAAGCAAGGUCUAAAAGAAAUAAGUCAAAAUGGAACCUCAGAACUCAACGUGGCUAUGAACAUAGAGAGAGACAAGCUCAACAAUUUUAUUAUGUGCCAGAUGCCAGGCUAGUUGCUGGGAAUAACGGUGGAGAAACCCCAGUCCCUGGCCUUCAGAAGGAGGAGACAAAUGAAUUAGCAUUUAUUCGUGCUCUGAGAGAGCACAGAGGCAACGCACUACCCUGGGACAGGAGGUGGGCAGGGCUUCUUAGACGUGGCACCCGAGUGCGGAAGGUUACUAGGAUUUAGCCAGAAGAAAAACAAGGGGAAUGAAAUACCAGGUAGAGGGAACAUUGUGUCUGAUAUUUUGGAAGCAAAGGAGAAAGACAGCAAUUCUUAGAAAUGCAAGUAGCUUAACGCAGGUGUGGAAGGUUGGGGAGGAGCAGUGAAAAGGAAAGUUGAGAGACCAGGCCAUGUUAAGGAAUGGACUUUAUCCUGCAGUGGGGGAAGCCACAUUUUAAGUAGGAAGAUAAUAGAGGCUGCACUGGAGUAAAAUUACAAGACAAGAGGCCAGUCACAGGAGGCUGGUGCAGUGAUCUGAACCGAAAGAGGGGAAGGCCUGAACAAAGGUGAAGCCUUGAGGGAUGUAGAGAAGUAAGAGAUAUUGAAGAGGUUGAUGUGUGGGGCCUCUGAAUCAUCCAGGCCCGGACAUCCAGGUGGCUCAGAAUCCAGUAGAGAAAUCCCAACUAAAGAGAUAUGUGGAGAAAUAAUCAGCAGAUAGAUACCUUUGAACACUUCAAGGAGUAGCUAAGAUUACUCAGUUAUUAUAUCAUUAAAUCCCCUUAACUCUGUGAAGUGGGUUAAAAGAAAAGACCCACAGGCGUAUAAUAAUUGGAUGACAGAUCCAGGCUUGUCUGACUUCAAAUCUUUGCCUUUUUCUCGUCUCCAUGCUGCUUUCCAGGGGGUAUAUUGAGUGCUUGGAAGAAGUGUUCGUUUCUGUGCUCAUGGCUUGGGUGCGUUCACUCCAGCCCAACACUGCUGUAGUUUAUGGAAACACAAAUAUUAAUAAAGCAUGUCUGCCGCAUUCAAAGCAGGGUAAGAGAGAGGGGAAGUCAACAGUCAUUUUCAUAUAAUAUGGUAAGGGCAGUGAUGGAGGUGUGUCUGAGGUGUAUUUGGUACAACUUGUAAGAAUCAGGAAGAACCUCUGGCCCCAAAAGUACAGAUAAAAUGCCGAUGUCAAUCAUGUCAACCUCCAAUCAAGUCUAUUCAUCAGACUGAGUGGAGUUGGAGAGUGGAGGCAGGGUGGAGAGGUGGAGCCUCUGUCUGAAAGGACUGGUUUGAAGGGGAGACUUGGCUUAGAAGAGACAAUGAAAGAGACCAAAAGAAGGAGGACACCUCCAGGAAGGAGCCAAGAGGACCUCCACAAUAAACAUCAGACCCACAGCCUAGGGCAUUCAGGUAGCCUCUGGGAAUUCCACUCUCCUCCCUCAGCCUUCCAUAAAAAAUGCUUUUUGGAGGCCAGAAAUGGUUUGAUCUGGGGUUUCCUAGCAAGUGUAGAUGGAUUAGCAAUUGUUAACUUGUUUGUAAGCAUUGUUAUCCCAGGGAUGGGCCUGAUUGUUCAUCAAGAUAUUCUCAGUACAUAGUCUGCAAAGUAGCAUCUCAAUAAAUGUUAACCUUUAUUGAAUCAAAGCUAAAUGUAAAUAAACAACUAGUUAUGCUCAAAGUAUUUCUUUUAGUUUUCUAAAAUAUAUAUCAUAUGUUGAAUAUUAUAACUGUUGUAGUCAAGUGGCUGAUAAAUGUGGACACAUCAUUAAAAUUUUUAAGAUAAUAUGGUUGAUAAAAGACAAAAUAAAUAAUGUUAUAACAGCCUUUGGUGUAGUUGGGGGAAAAAAAGCAGAAACCAAUGAAUGAACCAUGCUUGCUCCUGAAACACUGGAAGGGAGAAAUGAGAGGAUUACCUGGGGUGUCUUUUUAAACAUAUAAGUUCUUUCAUGCAUGCAUCCUCAUUUCUUAUAUGGAAAUGAACAAAGACCAUCUAAUUGAGAACAAAAGCAAAGUCUGAUUUUCUCAGGGCCUAAUAUAGCAAGGACAGAGUUCCCUGAUUGAAGGGCAAGUGUCCAAGGAGAAAAAAUAAAAAAUUCAAAAAAAACCACACACUUUGCUUAUCUUCCAGAGUAGAGGGCAAGGAGUGCGAUCUGUUCAGCUUCCUCAUCACUGCUUUGCCCACUCCCAUGCCAUCCUCCCUCUUUCCUUCUUUCCAGUGUAAGAUCCCAUUUCUUACAGGCCUCUAAUUACAGUCCCCAAGAACACAGAGAAAGAUCUGAUGUUAUUUUUUCUUCAUUUAUCAGUUCACUUUUUUUAUUUACUCAACACACUCUUAUUGACUACUGAUGUG
Myotis daubentonii (Daubenton's bat) is the source of this 3054-nucleotide long non-coding RNA. RefSeq lists it as uncharacterized. The record is from RefSeq and is a predicted model, not a curated record. NCBI's taxonomy places the organism in Eukaryota, Metazoa, Chordata, Mammalia, Chiroptera, Vespertilionidae.